UGGGGGAUAUUGCGCAAUGGGGGAAACCCUGACGCAGCAACGCCGCGUGAAGGAUGAAGGUUUUCGGAUUGUAAACUUCUUUUAUUUAGGACGAAGAAUGACGGUACUAAAUGAAUAAGCUCCGGCUAACUACGUGCCAGCAGCCGCGGUAAUACGUAGGGAGCAAGCGUUAUCCGGAUUUACUGGGUGUAAAGGGUGCGUAGGCGGCUUGGUAAGUCAGAUGUGAAAUGUAUGGGCUCAACCCAUGCACUGCAUUUGAAACUAUUGAGCUUGAGUGAAGUAGAGGUAGGCGGAAUUCCCUGUGUAGCGGUGAAAUGCGUAGAGAUAGGGAGGAACACCAGUGGCGAAGGCGGCCUACUGGGCUUUAACUGACGCUGAGGCACGAAAGCGUGGGUAGCAAACAGGAUUAGAUACCCUGGUAGUCCACGCUGUAAACGAUGAUUACUAGGUGUUGGAGGAUUGACCCCUUCAGUGCCGCAGUUAACACAAUAAGUAAUCCACCUGGGGAGUACGACCGCAAGGUUGAAACUCAAAGGAAUUGACGGGGGCCCGCACAAGCAGUGGAGUAUGUGGUUUAAUUCGACGCAACGCGAAGAACCUUACCAAGUCUUGACAUCCGUUGACCGCUGUAGAAAUACAGUUUUCCUUCGGGACAGCGAGACAGGUGGUGCAUGGUUGUCGUCAGCUCGUGUCGUGAGAUGUUGGGUUAAGUCCCGCAACGAGCGCAACCCUUAUGGUCAGUUACUACGCAAGAGGACUCUGGCCAGACUGCCGUUGACAAAACGGAGGAAGGUGGGGAUGACGUCAAAUCAUCAUGCCCUUUAUGACUUGGGCUACACACGUACUACAAUGGCGUUAAACAAAGAGAAGCAAGACCGCGAGGUGGAGCAAAACUCAGAAACAACGUCCCAGUUCGGACUGCAGGCUGCAACUCGCCUGCACGAAGUCGGAAUUGCUAGUAAUCGUGGAUCAGCAUGCCACGGUGAAUACGUUCCC
RNAcentral lists this ribosomal RNA (996 nucleotides) under uncultured bacterium. Its description in RNAcentral is "bacterial SSU rRNA". It matches the Rfam family "Bacterial small subunit ribosomal RNA", at positions 355 to 1375 of the family's 1533-position model. The record is from RNAcentral.